CCUACGGGGGGCUGCAGUGGGGAAUAUUGCGCAAUGGGGGAAACCCUGACGCAGCAACGCCGCGUGAAGGAUGAAGGCUUUCGGGUUGUAAACUUCUUUGAUCGGGGACGAAAACUGACGGUACCCGAGGAACAAGCCACGGCUAACUACGUGCCAGCAGCCGCGGUAAUACGUAGGUGGCGAGCGUUGUCCGGAAUUACUGGGUGUAAAGGGCGUGUAGGCGGGAUGUCAAGUCAGAUGUGAAAUACCGAGGCUUAACUUCGGGGGUGCAUCUGAAACUGAUAUUCUUGAGUGUCGGAGAGGAAAGUGGAAUUCCCAGUGUAGCGGUGAAAUGCGUAGAGAUUGGGAGGAACACCAGUGGCGAAGGCGGCUUUCUGGACGAUAACUGACGCUGAGGCGCGAAAGCGUGGGUAGCAAACAGGAUUAGAUACCCCAGUAGUC
Molecule: ribosomal RNA, 441 nt
Filed under: uncultured Clostridium sp.
Lineage: Bacteria; Bacillati; Bacillota; Clostridia; Eubacteriales; Clostridiaceae
Description: bacterial SSU rRNA
Rfam family: Bacterial small subunit ribosomal RNA
Source: RNAcentral